Molecule: unclassified non-coding RNA, 346 nt
Filed under: soil metagenome
Description: partial contains 5.8S ribosomal RNA, internal transcribed spacer 2, and large subunit ribosomal RNA
Rfam family: 5.8S ribosomal RNA (bases 1-120)
Source: RNAcentral
GAUGAAGAACGCAGUGAAAUGCGAUACGUAAUGUGAAUUGCAGAAUUCAGUGAAUCAUCGAGUCUUUGAACGCACAUUGCGCCCCCUGGUAUUCCGGGGGGCAUGCCUGUCCGAGCGUCAUUGCUGCCCUCAAGCCCGGCUUGUGUGUUGGGUCUCGUCCCCCUUCCCGGGGGGACGGGCCCGAAAGGCAGCGGCGGCACCGUGUCCGGUCCUCGAGCGUAUGGGGCUUUGUCACCCGCUCUGUAGGCCCGGCCGGCGCUUGCCGAUCAACCAAAACUUUUUUCCAGGUUGACCUCGGAUCAGGUAGGGAUACCCGCUGAACUUAAGCAUAUCAAUAAGCGGAGGA